RNAcentral lists this ribosomal RNA (292 nucleotides) under uncultured bacterium. Its description in RNAcentral is "partial 16S ribosomal RNA". It matches the Rfam family "Bacterial small subunit ribosomal RNA", at positions 505 to 796 of the family's 1533-position model. The record is from RNAcentral.
GUGUCAGCAGCCGCGGUAAUACGGAGGGAGCUAGCGUUGUUCGGAAUUACUGGGCGUAAAGCGCGCGUAGGCGGCUUUGUAAGUUAGAGGUGAAAGCCCGGGGCUCAACCCCGGAACUGCCUUUAAGACUGCAUCGCUUGAAUCCGGGAGAGGUGAGUGGAAUUCCGAGUGUAGAGGUGAAAUUCGUAGAUAUUAGGAGGAAUACCAGUGGCGAAGGCGGCCAUCUGGACCAAUUCUGACGCUAGAGUGCGAAAGCGUGGGGAUCAAACAGGAUUAGAAACCCUGGUAGUCC